UGGGCUGUUCGCCCAUUAAAGCGGUACGCGAGCUGGGUUUAGAACGUCGUGAGACAGUUCGGUCCCUAUCCGCUGUGCGCGUAGGAAACUUGAGAAAGGCUGUCCCUAGUACGAGAGGACCGGGAUGGACGAACCUCUGGUGUGUCAGUUGUUCUGCCAAGAGCACCGCUGAUUAGCUACGUUCGGAAGUGAUAACCGCUGAAAGCAUCUAAGCGGGAAGCACGUUUCAAGAUGAGGUUUCCAGGCCCGCGAGGGCGAGAGGCUCCCAGCUAGACGACUGGGUUGAUAGGCCGGAUGUGGAAGCACAGCAAUGUGUGGAGCUGACCGGUACUAAUAAGCCGAUAACUUGACCAA
Molecule: non-coding RNA, 354 nt
Filed under: Intrasporangium oryzae NRRL B-24470
Lineage: Bacteria; Bacillati; Actinomycetota; Actinomycetes; Micrococcales; Intrasporangiaceae
Description: Bacterial large subunit ribosomal RNA
Rfam family: Bacterial large subunit ribosomal RNA
Source: Rfam by way of RNAcentral